GCGGCUGUAGCUCAGCUGGAUAGAGCACCAGACUACGAAUCUGGGGGUCGCAGGUUCGAGUCCUGCCAGCCGCGCCA
RNAcentral lists this transfer RNA (77 nucleotides) under Deltaproteobacteria bacterium. RNAcentral's name for it is "tRNA-Arg". It matches the Rfam family "tRNA". Rfam says of the family: Transfer RNA (tRNA) molecules are approximately 80 nucleotides in length. Their secondary structure includes four short double-helical elements and three loops (D, anti-codon, and T loops). Lineage: Bacteria; Pseudomonadati; Myxococcota; Myxococcia. The record is from RNAcentral.